UACGUAGGGUGCGAGCGUUAAUCGGAAUUACUGGGCGUAAAGCGUGCGCAGGCGGCUUUGCAAGACAGAGGUGAAAUCCCCGGGCUCAACCUGGGAACUGCCUUUGUGACUGCAAGGCUAGAGUACGGCAGAGGGGGAUGGAAUUCCGCGUGUAGCAGUGAAAUGCGUAGAGAUGCGGAGGAACACCGAUGGCGAAGGCAAUCCCCUGGGCCUGUACUGACGCUCAUGCACGAAAGAGUGGGGAGCAAACAGG
This 253-nucleotide ribosomal RNA is filed under the name uncultured bacterium. RNAcentral describes it as "partial 16S ribosomal RNA". It matches the Rfam family "Bacterial small subunit ribosomal RNA", at positions 524 to 776 of the family's 1533-position model. The record is from RNAcentral.